This is a long non-coding RNA of Mirounga angustirostris (Northern elephant seal), 405 nucleotides long. RefSeq lists it as uncharacterized. The transcript has 4 exons. The record is from RefSeq and is a predicted model, not a curated record. Lineage: Eukaryota; Metazoa; Chordata; Mammalia; Carnivora; Phocidae.
GUGUUAACUACACCUGCGAAUGCCUUACUAGGAGUCCCGCACUGGUCUGUGCACUUGACAGGUGUCAACUCUUGCAACCCACUCUGACUUCCUUUCUGUCAUACUUCCCAUCACACCGGACAACACUGGGAUGGAUACAGGCAUUCUGAGCCUCCAGCCAAGAGGUUGCUGAUCUCUACACUACUCCUAACCGGAAUCCUGUAUCACCCACUCCCAUAGAACUACAGCUGGAUUCAAAAGAGGACUCCGAGAUCUUAGAGGCGAUGGUGUCACAAGAUGGGAAGGAGCAGAAGGCCACCUGCUGAACACCCUCUGGGAACCAUUAUGGCUCCUCUUUCAUGGACAAUCCUGGUUUUUUAAAGAAUUUCAAAUGAACACCAUGACCUACCUAUAGAUGGAGAAGGA